This 217-nucleotide long non-coding RNA is filed under the name Elaeis guineensis (African oil palm). RNAcentral describes it as "long non-coding RNA (EGUI_LNC003898)". Lineage: Eukaryota; Viridiplantae; Streptophyta; Magnoliopsida; Arecales; Arecaceae. The record is from RNAcentral.
ACAAGGUUCAUAAUUCUUAAUGCUAGAACUGGAACUUUGCUUCCAUCUCCAACAUUCAGGAACCUCUCGCCUUCAUCAAAUCUCCUACUGACCUGUAGACCCUGCAUCGAAUUGCAAAUAUGAUAAGGGCUUCCGGUAUCCAAUACCCAGGUAGUAGUAUCACAAAUGGAAAAGUUGCAAGGUGUUAUCAUAUAAGUACCUUGCUUCUUCUUCGACC